This 1660-nucleotide ribosomal RNA is filed under the name Salmonella enterica subsp. enterica serovar Lubbock. RNAcentral describes it as "partial 23S ribosomal RNA". It matches the Rfam family "Bacterial large subunit ribosomal RNA", at positions 1 to 1693 of the family's 2925-position model. The record is from RNAcentral. Lineage: Bacteria; Pseudomonadati; Pseudomonadota; Gammaproteobacteria; Enterobacterales; Enterobacteriaceae.
GGGUUGUGAGGUUAAGCGACUAAGCGUACACGGUGGAUGCCCUGGCAGUCAGAGGCGAUGAAGGGCGUGCUAAUCUGCGAUAAGCGCCGGUAAGGUGAUAUGAACCGUUAUAACCGGCGAUACCCGAAUGGGGAAACCCAGUGUGAUUCGUCACACUAUCAUUAACUGAAUCCAUAGGUUAAUGAGGCGAACCGGGGGAACUGAAACAUCUAAGUACCCCGAGGAAAAGAAAUCAACCGAGAUUCCCCCAGUAGCGGCGAGCGAACGGGGAGGAGCCCAGAGCCUGAAUCAGCAUGUGUGUUAGUGGAAGCGUCUGGAAAGGCGCGCGAUACAGGGUGACAGCCCCGUACACAAAAGCGCAUGUGCUGUGAGCUCGAUGAGUAGGGCGGGACACGUGGUAUCCUGUCUGAAUAUGGGGGGACCAUCCUCCAAGGCUAAAUACUCCUGACUGACCGAUAGUGAACCAGUACCGUGAGGGAAAGGCGAAAAGAACCCCGGCGAGGGGAGUGAAAAAGAACCUGAAACCGUGUACGUACAAGCAGUGGGAGCACAGGUUUACCUGUGUGACUGCGUACCUUUUGUAUAAUGGGUCAGCGACUUAUAUUCUGUAGCAAGGUUAACCGAAUAGGGGAGCCGGAGGGAAACCGAGUCUUAACCGGGCGUUAAGUUGCAGGGUAUAGACCCGAAACCCGGUGAUCUAGCCAUGGGCAGGUUGAAGGUUGGGUAACACUAACUGGAGGACCGAACCGACUAAUGUUGAAAAAUUAGCGGAUGACCUGUGGCUGGGGGUGAAAGGCCAAUCAAACCGGGAGAUAGCUGGUUCUCCCCGAAAGCUAUUUAGGUAGCGCCUCGUGAAUUCAUCUCCGGGGGUAGAGCACUGUUUCGGCUAGGGGGCCAUCCCGGCUUACCAACCCGAUGCAAACUGCGAAUACCGGAGAAUGUUAUCACGGGAGACACACGGCGGGUGCUAACGUCCGUCGUGAAGAGGGAAACAACCCAGACCGCCAGCUAAGGUCCCAAAGUCAUGGUUAAGUGGGAAACGAUGUGGGAAGGCCCAGACAGCCAGGAUGUUGGCUUAGAAGCAGCCAUCAUUUAAAGAAAGCGUAAUAGCUCACUGGUCGAGUCGGCCUGCGCGGAAGAUGUAACGGGGCUAAACCAUGCACCGAAGCUGCGGCAGCGACGCUGUGCGUUGUUGGGUAGGGGAGCGUUCUGUAAGCCUGCGAAGGUGGCCUGUGAGGGUUGCUGGAGGUAUCAGAAGUGCGAAUGCUGACAUAAGUAACGAUAAAGCGGGUGAAAAGCCCGCUCGCCGGAAGACCAAGGGUUCCUGUCCAACGUUAAUCGGGGCAGGGUGAGUCGACCCCUAAGGCGAGGCCGAAAGGCGUAGUCGAUGGGAAACGGGUUAAUAUUCCCGUACUUGGUGUUACUGCGAAGGGGGGACGGAGAAGGCUAUGUUGGCCGGGCGACGGUUGUCCCGGUUUAAGCGUGUAGGCUGGUUUUCCAGGCAAAUCCGGAAAAUCAAGGCUGAGGCGUGACGACGAGGCACUACGGUGCUGAAGCAACAAAUGCCCUGCUUCCAGGAAAAGCCUCUAAGCAUCAGGUAACAUCAAAUCGUACCCCAAACCGACACAGGUGGUCAGGUAGAGAAUACCAAGGCGCUUGA